GAAGUCAAGAAGAGAGCGAGCUGAUCAAGACGAAAGACCAUCCAAGGAGUGAAGAUCUUGUAGGAGAAUCAGAAGCUAAGGUCUGCAGUUAGACACCAUCAAGCUUAAGGUAAGGUUCACAUUCACAGCUUAGAGCGAUUUUGCUUCAAUAGAACUAAAAUCAUAGAACACCUUCCAUUAGAGAUUGAUGUCUUUACUUAGCUAUCACUACUGGCACAGCAUGUCAAAAAUAGGAUAAGGUAAUGUAUUUUCCCAAGAACGUAGAUGUGCUAGUUGUUUCACAGUGCAAGAGCUAAUAUCCUUUUUAUUAAUUGCAAGCAUGCACAAUAAUGCUGGAACUUAGGCUAAAGAAGAAGCACGAGUAACUUGCACAUGGAGCAACGCUCAGGUUGUAGCUGUAGAAUACACAGUGAGCUAACUGAAACUGAGAAGGGAGAUGAAUGAUAGGAACACUCACUGUCAGAGUCUAGAAGUUGAUGCCACAGCCUGAGAUGAAGCACGGCUUGCUCCUGCAACACGCAAUGGGCCUUGGUUCCCAUCACAGCACCACAGCUCGCCGGCCACAGCACCAUGGCCGGUUCGCCGUCGGCGGCCCAUCCUGCACAAGCCGCUAGGGUGAGGUGACAAUUACAAGAGAGGAAGAAAUCGAAGGGGAAAAAUGGAUAAAUAGCAUCCAGAACCCUUGUAGACUUGAGUUGGAGUAGUAAUCGUCCAAGAACUUACAGCCAUGGCUGUGGAUUUGAGGGCAGUAGCUUGAGAACUGUAGGCGCAGGGAGAGGGGAAUGGGGAAAAGAAACAGAGGAAAGAUAGGCCAAAGAGCUGACAUAUGGGCACGUCCUUGAGUGGUCUUCUAACAAAAGGAAAUGGUGCUUUGACAAGGAUGUUAGCCUGUAACAGAACUUGAUUAAAUAUAUUAAUCCAACUUAAGACUUCUAGCUGCAUAUAAACUAGGAUGGCAGGCGCGCUACGCCGCGCCCGUAUACUGCAGCGCUGCACGCCUAUGCUUGUCUAACUCUAUCUCGAAGCAAUAUAAGCUGCAUAGCAAAAGAGAAGUAGGCAGCAAUGAUCAGUGGACAACUUCAAUUUGAGCUGAACACAAAUGUGGUAGUUUUUUCGCUCAUAUGCAGUCAAACUUAAAUCUUAAUAGAUGGCCAUGUUGUAAUCGAAGAAAAUAAUGCAAAUGAUCAUUUCCUCUUACAGUUGUACAUUAGUGAUUUCAUCUGAAGCAAAAAAGGAAAUGAUCUGUGACAAACUAUAUCAAAGUAGAAACUUUAUGACCUCUGAUCAGCAACCCACGCAACAUAUAGAUCAAAAACAGCAAGGAAUGUGAUAGUUUCUUGUGAGAUAUUCGGAGUAAGAAUUUUAACACUCUGUAGUAACAACAUAUUAGAACCGACUACAAACCUUAACAUUUUGUGGAAAUUUAUCACAAUAUAAAAAAGAUAGUCAUCUAAAUUUGUCCAAUUGAAACCUGGGACGAUCGUGAGGUACCUUUAAUGAACUUGCAACACUGCACAGAGAAACUUCACAUAUACACAACUAAUGGAACUGAAUUAAGUAAGCAAGAAUCCAACUACUGUCAGAUAAACUCUACUGCAGUAGGCUAAUGUCAGACUCCCAACACAAAACAAUGGAAAUAAAUCUGUUUGAACAAUACAUGACUGAGAAUUUGCACGUGUGCACUGUGAUUUGGCAAUGUGAUACGUGGCUUCAAUCACAUAGUAACACAGUGGUAACACGAACUUGUAAUGGAAAACUGAAGAUGGAAAGGUAAACCGGUAUGGGCGUGGUGCAGACUAUUCACCGUUAUUGCUGAAAACUACAAAAAUUAAAUAAUAAUCAUAUAACACUUCAACUGUCAAUCUAUGUGGAAUUUCAACCUUGCCAAACUAUACAAAUCCAUGAAGGCCAUAUCCUUCAGAAUUCCGACCUUUCCAAUGACAUGAAACUGAAAUUCUUAACAAAAGAAAAUAGAGUUCACUCGUGUGUUUCUUUGACCAUGUCCAGGAACGUAGCCGCAUGAACUAAAUCCACUUUUGCAGGCGCUGGAAUGGCCAUAUGCACUGCAUAACUUGCAAGAAACAUAACGUAGCUCAUGAAGAAACAGAGCUAUCUGCUCUGUAAUGUACUGAAAAGCAACCGAGAUGACCAACAUUUAGGCAUACUUUCAGGCUCCACUCAAAAGGCACACAUAUGUUUUGUAAUACAAAGCAAAACCUGAAGUCCUGAACUAUAAAUACAAUGUGAACGAAGCAAAAAAGUAAACUUGUAAAGGAAACACUAAGUAUCUGUAAAGUUUAAAGCAAUCAAUUUGACUGCACCUAACUAAAUGUAAUGUAGCAGUGUAGCACUGAAUAAUGAUAAUAGGACAGAGAGAAAUUCCAGUGUGGGAUAGACGAUCGAUUUCCAUUCCAAUUCAGUGCAGCACCCAGCUCCAAUCAGCAUUGCCACAUCGUGAUUCAGGUUUUGACAUAAUAAUUAAAAGGCAACUAAAUUGGUGACCAUGUAAUACUGACAUCCAGGUUUUAGUGGCAUGUAAACUAAUAAAUCAUAACUACAGUAGCUUCUUCUCACCGUUGACAGAUGCAAAUGAGCUCCCAGAACCAGAGAGCAUUCCCAGAUCCAAACAGCACAUAACCAUCUUCACUACAGCAAGGAAUUUGCGGUAUAAAUUAGCAUAUUGAAAUGAAGCUGCUGAGAUGAUUGCGCGCGUCACAAUGAACAAAGUAGCACGUAGAUGUAGCCACAUCUGAGUUUUUCCGAACACUGAGAAGAGAUAGAACUAAAGGGGAACAAAAGAUUGUGUCGAGCAAAUGGAUUCGGAUAAUAACUGGAAAAAUGAGACCGGCGGCAGCAGCAUAGCUGAGAAGCAUGAGGCCAGAGAGUGGGAAAGAACACCGUCGAUGCGUAGAUGGCGACGCCUGAUUCGGCAGUGGAAAUGCCUGCCGAUUCAGAAGGAAGGGACCGGUCACCGGAGCGGCGCACUGUCCACCUGCUCGCCUGAUGGCCCACAACCAACACAACUCCGGCAUCGCCCGGACAUGGACGCACACGGAAGGGAGGUAGGACCUGAGGAAAGGCACGACGGGCAAGCGCGGCGCCGCGCUCGGCGAACUCGGGCGCCCUGCGGCGGGCUUCACAAGUGAGGACGCCGACGGACCUGCAGCACCCAUUCGAAGGAGGACGGCAGCGGCGCAACGACGUGCGGAGGAGGCGACAAUUGACCAGCUCCCGUCCGGCAUCGCGAUGCCCCACAUGGCCGCUGCCGCCAUGAGCAGUUGAGGCAGUCCUCCUCAGCUUGUGGCCACCCACUGCGCCAGCAGCUCCGUCUGCCCAUCCGCCUCCCCGGAACUCUACCCGCCGCCAAGCCCUUUUUGCACGGGCUUGGAUCCCACCGGUGGACAGAAAGCGGCGAGCAGCGGCGACGUCGAGGGUUUUUUUUUCCUUGCAAAUGAGGAGGGCGAGGAGGACGAAGCGUUGUGUCGUGUCGCCGAUUUGGUGGAGAUGCAAGGACGACUCUCCUGGUUAUGGACUUAUGGACACGCGGCGAGCAAGUGGCGUGGCUGACUGCUUGAUUCUGUUGCUGCGCGUCAAGCACACGCGAUGAGCAGCCACGUUAAUGCGCGACACGCAGUAUGAUCUCAUUGGGUGGACACGCGGCGUGACGCAACAGGCGGGAGCGGCGGAGAGGCUCCGGAGCCAGCGAUCCUUACAGCGAUAUAUCUCUACUUAGGGCAGCUGCCGUCUGUAAGUCAUAUAUAGACAGUGAUGGCUGCCGUCUGUAAGUUAUAUAUAGAUAGUGAAACCGACAGCUUAUACAAUGAUGUGUCUUUUAAGUUGUCUGCAAGUUAUUUAAUUCAUUCAAAUCAAGGUGAUUAGGUAUAAAUAUGAUCUAUGUAUGCCAUUUUGUUGCUUGUUCACUCAAUGCAAUGCAUGCUACCUCAUAUUAUGGACACAUGAAUUUGACAUAGAAAUAUAAAUAUAAUAUAUAUUUAUAAUAAUUGAUCUUUGCAAUACAUAAUAUGAUAAUAUAAUAAAGACUCAAUAUAUUAGUCAUAAAGACUCAAUAGAUUACCCGUGUAGGUCUAGUUUUCCUUGCGGUCAUAACGCUGCCAAAUAUGCUCAACCAAAUCGUUCUUGAGCUGCUUGUGUGUAGAGCGACCACGGAUAACCUUGUUUCUCCGAAGUACCUCUACGAAGCAUGGGUUAGGAUCAUCACUUGUCCUCACUUCGGUGGUAGCACAAUUGUUGCACUCGGAUUGUCAUUCAAAUCCAAUGGAAUUUUGACCAAUUCCUUCUCAUCUUCAACUAUCAUAUUAUGGAGGAUAAUACAAGCUUGCAUGAUGUUAACAACAUCAUCCCGUUUCCAUAACCGUGCCAGACGUUUAACAAUAUCAAAACGAGAUUGUAAGACACCAAAUGCGCACUCGACAUCCUUCCUUGCCCCUUCUUGAUGUUGUGCAUAUAAUUUGUGCUUCUCCGUUUGAGGUUUUGAUAUUGUCUUCACAAAGGCAGCCCACUCUGGAUAAAUCCCGUCAGCAAGAUAGUAUCCUGUGUCAUAUUGCGUUCCAUUUACAAUAUAUUGUACUCUAGGGGCUUCUCCUUUUAUCACCUCAAUGAAUAGCAGUAUCUUAUUCAGCACAUUGAUAUCAUUAUAGGCCCUAGCAGUACCAAAAAAUGCAUGCCAUAUGCGAAGAUCUCGUGAUGCAACUGCUUCAAGGAUCAUAGUAGGAACACGUUUAUCACCACGAGUAAACAUGCCGGCCCAACCUUUAGGACAAUUCUUCCACGUCCAGUGCAUACAGUCAAUGCUUCCUAUCAUACCUGGAAAACCACGGGACUCAUUAUCUUGUAGAAUUUUUUCAAGUUCAUCACUUCUCGGAGGGCGCAUGUACUCCGCACCAAAGCACUCUAUCACUCCUUGGGAAAAUUUUCCUAAGCACAAUAAAGAUGUGCUUGCUGCAAUCUUCAAUACCUCAUCAAGUUGGUCAGCCGGUGAGCCAUAUGCUAGCAUUCGAAUAGCUGUAGUACACUUUUGAAGGGGUGAGUGUCCAUCUCUACCGGUUGCAUCCACUCUUCGGGUGAAAAAAGGAUCCCAAUUACUAAGCUCUGACACAAUUCGGAGGAAUAAAGGUUUCGACAUCCGGAAUCUCCUACGGAACAUUUCGUCGGUGUAGAUAGGAUUUGCAAAGAAAUAAUUUGCAACAAGAUCGUCGUGACCAGCUUCUCGAUUACGUGGUAUGUACCUUCUCGGCUCACUUUGGCGACGGCGACGGCGAGGUGGUUCAGAUGAUUCCCCUUGAAACUUAGCCUUAAUCUUGUCGCUGAUUUUCCUCCGAAAUUCUUCUAAUCUUGCGUCCUCAGCAAUGACAUCUUCAAGCGUAUAUACCUCCACUAGAUCAAAAUCUUCUUCGAUGACUUCAUGUUCAGCGGACAGGCCCUCAUCAUCAUCUUCAAUAGCUUCAUCAGGUGCUUCAUCACCGGGCAGGGCUUCAUAUUCCAGUUCUUCAUCAGUGGAUUGAGUUGACAUUGAUAGGAACGUGGAGAAAAGAAGCAUCUAUGCAUAGUGCCACCGAUGGCCAUGUAUUUAUACUGGAAUAUGUUACACAUUUCACAAUUGAAGCACAGGUUCACACCUAAAUUACAGAUAUCACACCUCAAGCAAUAUGUUGGGUUCACACCUAAGUUACAGAUUUCACACCUCAAGCAAUAUGUUGGGUUCACACCUAAGUUACGGAUUUCACACCUCAAGCACAGGUUCACACUGAUGGGCAAGUAAUAUGUUACUAUCUGAUUAGUGAAACGCCAAGACCACAACAAGUGUUCAGUUCACUAGAAAUAAAUCACAGCAAGUAGUAUGUUACUAUCCGAUUAGUGCAACUGCCAUUCAGUUUUCCAUAGAUUAGAGCCAUCUAAAUUUUCCCUUCGAAGCAUCUCAUGACAGGAUGCACAAUGACAGGCAUCUCAUGAUUCAUGAACAAGAACCAUAACCAUAUAUGUUUAAUAGCUUGGCCACCUUAUCUCAGAUAUCAACAAUAAACCUGUGUAGCUGCUCAUCUCAUCUCAAUGCUAACAGGAACUCAUCUCCAUAAUCUAAUACAAGUAAAAAAGCAAACAUAAAUCAGUACUGCAUGCAGAUGAAGGGCAUUCAAGAGAUAAGGGCACAACACUUUAUGCUAGUUGUAAAAUACAUGUAGUUGUAAAAUACAUGUUGAUGCAUAGUCUAGAGACUGCAGAUUGGUUGUUCAUAUUAGAAAUGGAUGGCAUGUCCUGCAUCUCAAUUCGUUUGUAUCUUUUAGUUAGUCAUAAAUUAGCAUGUUUAUCCUGUUUUCCUUACUGAAAAUACAGUUAACUUGUUAAUACCAUGAACCGUAUACUUCUGGACCUGAAUAUUGUAAAUCUUUACUACCUAGUUGUGAGAAAUUGGAGCUAGAACUGGUCUGGACCUGAAAUUGUUAAUCUUAUUACAGGCUCUGCUAUCACUAGACCCAUCAACAAGGUAAAGUGAUGAUCUCGAUCAAGUGAUCAUUUAUUAUCAGAAAGAUAAUUUAGGUUCCCCUUGGGGAUUAAAUAAUUUAGAUUACCUGGAUCACCUCCCUGAGUUUCGGUAGCCGCAUUUUCGUGCUUAUCUCCAUCUCCAGCAGCUGGGCAUCGUGAGCCUUCUUUCCUGCGAGCCUUCUUAUCUGCAGCUGCUUUGGCCGCAGAGGCAGUCUGCAAGGCGAGCGACCCGUCGGCCCCCGCGCGCUGCAACUCUCCGAAGGGCUCGUCGGCCAGCACGCGCUCUAGCUCCCGCUCCCGCUCCGUAUCCUCGUCAUCGCUCCCUGACUUGGACUCCGACCCUGACGAUGAGGAGACCGCAACCUCACCGGCAAUGGCGGCGCGGCCAUGGUGCGAGGGGGGAUCAGCUGCUGUCCGCGCGGGAGGUCGAUUCGGCGCCUGCGGAGCUCGAGUCGACAGCGGCGGAGGUCGAUUCAGCACCUGCGGAGGUCGAAUCAACGACGGCGGAGAUGCUCCUGUCAGAGUUUGCUCGAAGCGUGGGGAAAGCGACGACGCGGGGAGAGGAGGAGGAGAUGGAUUUGGCGCGGAAAAAUCCCACGCGCGCCCAAUUGCUGUCCGCGCGGGAUCCGCGUGCGGUCGAUGGAGACGAGGGACGUACAACGCUGCUGAACCGUCUCUACCCGCCUCGGAGCACGGGACGUCGCCGUCGUCUCGCGAGGCGACGGCGCGCCCGUCGCCUCGGCGAGAGAAGGUCUUUUUUGCAAAAGUGUCGGCUUGCAGACGGCUCGCAACAGCCUGUUGUACGUGCCCUUAUUAUAUUAGUACUUGACCUCAAAUCCAAUAAUUCUAGGUUGACCAAAUGCCACACAAAUAUAACUGUGCACAGUAUAGAAAUUUUGCAGUAAUGUAAUUAAGCUCUUUUAUACCUGUUAAUUUACAAAAACAUGGAAAGCAUGGAGACAAGCAUUUAAGAGAUGAACUUUUCUUGGGAGCUCGGGCAAGUUAGGUAGAUAUAAUGAUUUCUUUUUGAAAAGAUAAUCCUUUUUAAACAUUGCAUCAAAAACUAUUUUCUAAAGUAAACCUAAUGAGACGAUGGUUUGGGAUGGAUAAGGUGUAUGGAUGAUAAUUGAACAUGGUGUGUAGGGAGGGUCCAUGAAAUGUGAUGAUGAAUUAGGGAUGGGUCGGACUCUCUCUACAUAUCUAAACUUAAGGAUUAAACCUCUCUCACUCAUCUUGUGUGCCGUAUCUUAUCAUGCCGACCAUGGGUUUGUUUGAAACAAGUCGAGUCCAGUACCCAUCAAGUUCUUAUACACUUCCUAUAGGAGAGGUUUGGGCUAUGCUCAUUUAGGUGAUGAUGAAGUGCACCCAAGCGCAUAUAUUAGCUCACGUGGUUAAGAUGUGGAUGUAUAAUAUACGAAAGUGGGGAAGUUUGGUAUUUUGACCAUGAGUCGCAUCAAGGAAAUGCGAUGGCAAAUUGGUUGGGGGUGACCAUGGGUAAAGUGACACAAACCUGCACAGGGUUAAAUCGUGAUUCACGUCAUGUCUCCUAGUAUGGAGGCUACGGGAGGCUAUGGGAGCCUACAGGAGGUUCUAUUAGUAUGGGUGAAUAGUAGAUUUGUUAAUAACUCUUUCUAAAAUAUGCCAUUUUUUAUAAAUGAUUUAUAUUGAAGGAUGGAGAUGACAAAUGAUUUAGACAUGUAUUUCAUUCGAUUUAUUACGUACUUGCUGAGUACUUUGUACUCACUCUUGCUAUUAACCCUCCCCCUUCAAAUAAAAAAGGAGACGACAGACGAUGGUCUUAUUGCAGAACAAACGAUGUACAUAAAAAGGUGCCAAGUCAAGAAUGCAUGACAAAUACUACAUAUGUAAAUUUGAUAUAAAGUUGUUAUUUUAUUUCUUUUAAGUAAUAUUAGUUAGCUCUUUUAUGUUGAAAUGUAAUGAAUAAUGUAAAGUCCUAACUAUUGUUCUGCUGCAUCACUCUGAUUAGGGUCAUUAUUCGAGAAAGCGUUGCUUUGGUAGUGAAAAUGCGGGGCGUUAUAUUUCCCUGCAAAGGAGCUCCUCAUUGAGUCCUCUACUAUUAGCCUAUUAGCCGCUUCUACAUCAAGCCUUGGAUUCGCUUCAAAUCAGAUUCUAGAAAGACGGAAACUAAGAAAUUUGUAAUAGACCCAAGGCCUUCAAAAACAACGAGAUUUGGCUAAGCAAAAACACAACAUAAUUCAUGGGCCUUAGAUUGUUGUUCUUUCAGAUUGCUGGUGUGGGCUUUUUUAAAGGAUGCAUGGGCCCAAUCGGAAGCCACUUCAGCUUUCCACAGGUUUUCGUUUUUGGGCUGGGCUUAGACAACAAGAGUAUCUGCGACUCUGCGAGGUAGCGGAGGGAUAUCAAUAUCAUGGAACCAUUUAGAUUAGUCCCACAUCGCUUGCUUUGCACGAGCAGGGUCACCGUGGGCGCGUUUGGAAGCCUGUGUAGCUUCAGUCGGGCUCGUGAGCUAGGCUCCAACCAGACGGGCUGGGUUUAUAGGGUGCAAAGAUAUUGAUUGGCAAAUCUUGCACCCCAUGGUGUUAGCUGGAUUGAGAUUGUAUUUGUUAUAGUGGACCGGCAGUGAGCCCCCAUAACUAACCUAAACUGCCAUCUAGAGAUGGUGUUUGGUAGCUUGGACAGGGGAGAGAUUCCCUCAUCACAAGCAGGUGCUUGUGAAGGUUACCCCAUACCUAGGCGCCUAGAAAUGCAUAGAUAAAAGGAAGGAUACUGAAAUUGAAUUAAAUAACAAGUACUUAGGAAGGUCAACAAUAUAAUCGUGAUCCCAAUUUACAGAGGAAUAAAAUUACAUUGAGUUCAUAAGGUAAUUAGCAACCUAGUUAACAUAAUUAUGACAUUACUUGCAUAACAUUGGCAAGUAAAAUGCAGCAGGAACAUGGUACUAAGGACACUAACCACUUGGAAAAGUCAAGAUAGAUGAAGAUAGCAAAGAGAACCACAGUUCAAGCAAACUUGGAUGUCUACCAAACCAUGAAUCUACAAUAUGAAUAAUUAACGGGUCAGGUUUGAGCAACAAAAGGUAACCAAAAUAACAAAUUGCAUGAAACCAAGUCAGCAUCACCUGAAAAUGGCUCAAGCUAUCAAUAAUCAUAAAAAAUAGAGAAAUUCCCAUGUGCCUUAGCAGCCGGCAAUAUCUCCAAGCAUCAUUGCCACCAAGCAAAACCAUGAACAUGAGGAACAUAAACAACCACAAGUUAGGGAAAGCAGGUAAGAGUGAACAAAAGCCUCAGACAUAACUUAUUAGGUCAGUCAUCAUCGGCAAAGAACUGAUGCAUGGCUCAGAUUUGUAGUACUUGCCUAACAACUAGGACACUGGCAGGAGUUGCCUCCUAGUGAGGCAGUCAGAGGAACCCCUGAUUGAUCACUAGGAGCUAACACCUGUAAAGGUCCUUAAGGGUGCGUUUGGUAGCUGUUGUGACUCAUGAGUAUUGUCAUCAUCAUUGCCAUCCAAGAAAUCAUGAAUUUUGUUAAGAAAAUGAACAAGGCAGUAGCAUAAUACAGAAGUGGGUUGUUUUUUUAGGCUCAGCUCAGGUGCAGAUGCACGCGCCAAGAAGCUACCUAAUAGUGAGGCAACCGAGGCAAGGUAUACCUCGUUUGCCUUAGUAUGUAGGCAGCAUCUUGUGGCAUACAUGCUACCACCUUUACAUCAUUGCCAUUAUGAAGAUGGACGCAUCAGAGAGGGUUGCUUAUAUCGUACCGAGAGGUCGUACUCGCCAAGCUCGAGUGGAUGUUGGUCAAGUUACCGUAAGGCAACAUGAGCAAGGUCCACAUCAAGCUUGGGGAAUAACCCCCUAGCUCAGCACUCGUAAGCUAGCCUAUCAUCAUCCGCACACAUAAAAAAGAUAGGCAAAGCAAGUGGCAAAAAAAUUGGAGCCUCACCGUACUGAAAGCAGUUGCCUCACAAGUCUGACAUCCUUCCUUGAACACUUGGAUUGAAAACUGCAUUUCGAUCAUCAAAAACCAAAAGGUCAGAUCAAGAAUUUGCUAGGUCAGAGCACAAAUAAGUAAGCUCAUCAUUCCCAAAUAAGCAAGCAUAAUAGAACAACUGCUACCAUGAUAUUGCCUCAGUACAAAUGUAUCACAGGCAGAGAAACAAGUAUGAAGGGCCUCAGAUUAUCAGUUAAAUCUCCACAAAGUCCAUACAGACAGGUGGACUCCAAAGUGGUAGCAGAAGAGUAGAAACAAAGAGUAAGAACAGAGGCAAUAAAGCUAAAAGACAUCAAACAAAGAACAACAUAUACAAGAACCAUAAGCAAAGUGCCACUUCAUCAUUGCCCUACCUAGUAGUAAUCAUCACAGGUCAAAGAAAGAGGGAACAAGUUCAAUAGAAGGAACAUGAUCACAAGUUAAAUAGUAAAAUAAAAAAUAUAACCAACAGGUGAGCAUGCCAACAAGCAAGGUAAAUAAGAGCAUGAACAUGCCACCAAGAUGAAUAGUAAAUUAAACAGCAACAGUAAGAUGUCAACAUGGCAACAAAUAGGUUAAGAACAUGCAAAAAGCUCAAAUAGCAAAGUAAAACAUAUUAGUAAAAUGUCAAGACGGAAAAUUACUAAAGUAAAGCUAACAGGCAUCUGAUGUAAACAUGCAUACAUGGCAUCACAUCACAAGUAUCACAGGUAUAUAGCAGUACAAGAUCCAUCAUAUUACAGUACUUACCAUGCAGUUCCUUAGCAAAUAUUUAGUUCCAAUAUUCUUAACCUUGCCAUGCUGCUAUAGAAAUUAAUUAGUAAUUAGCUGCCCCCCAUGUGAAAUAAAAACCAACACAAAAGGCCAGGUGCAAGUGAGGCUACACCCUAACAGGUCAGACCUAUGUAUAUAGAGAUCUGUGCAAAAGAAGGGAGUGGCUAGGGUUGGAGACAUGCUCAACUGUUUUCCCUGAGCUAGAAGGCAGUAGCAGCUACUACAUCACAUGUAGUAGUGCUUGCUUAGCCAGGUCCUGAGCCAGAGGGUGCGAUGGUUCUCACCCAUCUUCAUAAAGGCAUUGCCCUGUGACUUGUUGUCCAAGAAGUGACUAAAAGCAACGAUGAAGGCCUCCUCAGAGAAGCUAGGGAUCAACAUCAUAGCAUUGUAGAGGUCAGGGUGCACCUGCUUAGGGCCCAGUCUCCCUUAGUGCAGUAGCCACAUUGUUUACAGUAUUUGUCAUGUUGGUAAGGACAAGUACCUCCUUCUCAGACAUGGCAGCCCUCUUCCUCUUAUUCCCAGCACAGCAUCCAGGGGCCUUUGAACCCUCACCAGAGCCAGCAGGCUUGGUGACCGUCUUUUCGUCCACCUGCUGCUCAGUCGAAUUCAAGUCAACUAGCUGAUGCUUGUCCACCUUCUUUUCUGUUGUCUCCCCAAACCCAAAAAACACGCCUAGCGCCUCUCCGGAACCCAUGGCUCAGCGGCCUAUUGCCAUGCCCCCUCCAAAGAUGAUCUCCAUCUGCGCGUAGUGCUCAAUGGGCUUGUUCAGCAACUCAGCAUCCUUGGGAUGAUCCUGCAAACCAAAAUACCAACAACAACAACUUAAGUUAGUACUUACCAAAGGGAAAUGAAAGCGGUUAAUGAAAAAUAAACAGAAACCAUAAUAAAUCACUCACCUUGCAAUGUCCCAGGUUGUGCUCCUGCUCAAGAGUGAUGCUGCACGUGUCACCAUCCUAGAGAGCACCACUGAGGUCCCUGAGCUUGCACACCCUACCCCACCUCUGCCUCCACUUACGCAGGUGGUUGUACACCUGAGUGGCGGUGACAUACUUCCCAGUCCAUUCCCACAGUGCCUUGGCCACCUUGUUCACAUGCACAUCCUUUAAGCCCUUCUCAGGCCGCACACCAGUGCCAAUGAGCUCACACAUGCGACGUAGCACAAACCCGGAGGUGGUAGUGGUCCACCUCAUAGGAGGGUGAGGCACACCACCAGCAACUCCACCACCCUGUCCCUGACCACCACCACUAGCAGCACCACCCACAAGUUCCGCAGGACCACCACCCCAAGAGCCUGAGCAACAGCAACACCCACACCAGCCACAGCACCAACACCACGACCAGGCAGACCCAGGCCCGAGGCAGCAGGAACAACACCUUGACCAACAAGUAGGUGACCAGCACUAGCAAACCCAGCAGCAGCAGAACCAAAGAACACGUUCUUCUCAGCCAUUGGCCUAGAUAACCAAUAGUAUAGAUUGCACCACAAACCAUUAAGUACCAGACAUAUUAUAGGUUAGGUCAUUGCAUCCCUUGUGUCCCCAGAGUAAUAGCAAUUUAAUAGGCAGCAGGGAAAAUAUCAAAGUAACUAGAAGGUGAUGAAAACAAAAUAGCAACAACAGAUACGCAGAAACAAACAGAAUUUAAACAACAAUAGAUGCAGGAAGAAAGCAAAUUAAAUUAAGUACAGUUGAGGUCUCAGCAAGUUCCAGCCAGCAUCACAUCACUGCCACACCACCAUUAUUUCUUAUAGUUCCACUAAAGCACACAAGAUACUACAUCCUAGAAGACCCCUUGUUCUGCCACAUAGCUAAAGCCCACUCAUUCCUCUUAGCACCCCAGGCCCUAGCUUCCUGUGACAUGGCUUGUUCUGCCACAUAGCUAAAGCCCACUCAUUCCUCUUAGCACCCCAGGUCCUAGCUUCCUGUGACAUGGCUUGUUCUGCCACAUAGCUAAAGCCCACUUAUUCCUCUUAGCACCCCAGGCCCUAGCUUCCUGUGACAUGGCUGCAUGAGUGGGUGCAAGCUGUGUUUCUGAGGGUGGUGGGGAGAAAUCCUCCACUAGGAUAACUUCAUCUACCCUAAGCCCUAAGAUCCAGUUAUGCAGAAUAUAACAAACAAUGUAUGGAUGGUAUGGCUUAUUGUCUAGCAUUCGAAACCUACCCUUAAGAGCUCCAAAUGCCCUCUCAACUGUUGUCCGAAGGGACGAGUGCCUUAGGUUGAAUAGUUCCUUAGCAUUAAUAGGGGUUCUCUUACCCUCGAACUCUGACAUGUGGUACCUAACAGCCCGAUACGGAGGAAGGAAUCCAGGUCGCAAAGAGUAGCCAGCAUCAGCAAGGUAGAAUUUCCCUACACAUGAAUGGAUUUACGGUACAUGAGCUACCUAGUGGAACAAAAUAAAAUAACUUGUGCCUGUAACAAGCUGGGUGGGCAAUAUACCUUGUGGCACCCUCAACCCAUCAUCCCGCUCUAGCACAUCAGCUAAGACCAACGCAUCGUGUGCUGAUCCUUCCCACCCAGCAAGGAUAUAGGUGAACCUCAUAUCGAAAUGAACAGCAACUAGCACAUUCUGUGUUGUGCUGCUCUUACAGUCUCUAAAAGCAGCCUGCAUCUUAAAUGGCACUCUAGUAAGAAUAUGGGUGCCAUCAAUAGCUCCAAUACAGUCCUAAGAGAAUUAACAUGCAUGCAUCAGUGUACCAUGUAUUGUGUAAAUAAAAGUGCAGCAACAACGUACAAUAUAAACUACCCAAAUACCUUGAAGUGUGGAUUCCAUCUCUGGCUCCUAAGGAUUUUAGGAUGGGUGGCACCAUCAGGGGCUCUGAUAAUCUCACCCCUCAACUCCCCAUCUACAUAAAGCACUUGUGCAAAGUACCUACUGACUCUAUGGAUCUCCUAAAAGUGUGAUGGAUCACCCUAAAUCUCUGGUCGUGUCCCACAAUGUGGAGGAAUAUGGCAACCUAUUCCUCAACACUAGUGUGUAUGCUAUCCUGUAGGAGGUGCCUCUCCCUAAACAGGUUAACCAACUGAAAGAAAGGAGCUUUACGCAUCCUUAGCAUGCUUACAGACUCAACAUCUAUGCAAUUAUAUAUCUUAUCUAGGUUUGCCUUCCUCUAAGAAUCGACCACUGCCCUAGGAACCCAAAUAGAGUUCUCUUCCUCAUCUGAAUCAAACCUGGCCCUCCUAAGCCUAGCGUACAGAAAUACAAUGCAUACAACAACAAGAACAACAACUUGUGAAGCCAUCCUGGCACGGUAGUCAUGCAACUCCAUCUACAUUAUGGCAUGUUAAUAAAUAAAUUUUAAAACUUGAGUACUGAAAUGGAAUUGAAGACAUCCUAAGGUGUGGCAGUAUACAGCAGCAUGUGUCGGGGAUAGAUCCCCAGUACCUGCAAGGAAGGAAGAAGACAAACUCCUACUAGGGUUUCUCUAUAAUGUUAUUAGGACUCAUACCAUGUAAUCCUAUUAGGACUCUUCCUUGUAACCGACUAGUAAUCCUCCCCUUGAGUAUAUAAAGGAGGACAGGGGUACCUAGAUCGGCAGCUUAGACCAACAUAGCUCAGAACCAUCAUCAAUAGCCAACAAUUAGGCUACACAACACCCAAACGCAGGGCACAAUAUACAACACCUUAAACAGGACAUAGGGUAUUAUCCUACUCUGGCGGCCCGAACCUGUAUAAAUCCGUGUCUUGUGUCCUCGCUUUUAUCAUCAAGUUCCAGAUCCAGCGAUCCCCCACUGAAGCGUCCCCACAUAAGUAGAGACUAAAUGUGUUGCAAAUAUCAGUCCCAGAAGUCUGAUAGCACAUUUAUUCAAUAGAUAAUUAAGUUACUGUACAACUCCCAGAGGAGUGGGCGUGAAAGCCACGCAGCGAUAAGAAGCAAAUAAAUAACAGCGGCUAACCAAGCGACUGUCAAAAGACAGCACUCGGGACUACACAGCAGCAGAAGCAUCUUGUGAAGGCCAACACCACAGACAGCGUUGGGUGCGGACACAACCUCCUACUCAAACUCCUCGGCGAUGAAGUCUGGGUCUUCCUCUGUAGCAACGAAGCAAGGGUGAGUACAAAAGUACUCAACAAGUCCAACCCCAUCCACGGAGGGGGAUACAAACAAGUAUAUGCAUAGGAUAUAACAAGGAUAGGCUAAGGUUCAUUUGCAGUAAAGCUAGAUUUUCAACACAUGCACGGGUUUAUUUUCUAAAAGAGUUUUGUAAAGCUUUUCUUUAGUAACCGAAACAUUGAGUGGGGUUGAUCCUACACAAAGGAUCCAAAUUUUAUUGCUAUCAGACUUCCCGUCUGCCAUAGCUCACGGCACAACUGCCGGACACUUCCAAAAUCCAACACACGCCAUGAAACCAUCCAUUCCCAAGUGCUAGUUAUGUGACCAAGCCGUAACUCGUCCAAUGCCAUGGACACGGCUACCCGGAUAGGUUUUAACUCUGCAGAGGUUGUACACUUUUCCCACAAGUAGGGUACCGCAGCACGAUCACCUUAGUGCCGGUGCGGAUCCUAACAAAGCGAUUACCCACCUUAGCUAAGACUGACUAGUCCACACGGAAGCACCCAAGGGGUUAACGACUCAUCCACGAGACCGUCACCGGGACCUAAGUCACCAAGAUCUUACUCCUUUUCCAUGGGCUCCCGUUGCUCACCAGCACACCCGAAGACUAACAGUCCAGCUAGUGGGAUUUAUGCUAAACCGUUGCCCAUACAACGGUCGAGUGAUUGCACGAUGGUUGAAUUAGGCAAGAUGACACAUCAACUCGGUCCUUAAUCAUGACAAGAUGGAUAUCUCCCAACUCUGCUCAACCACUAAGGUACGAGCACAACAUUCUGGCAUUUCACACAAGAAACACCCAUCCAUCUCAUCGACACAUUCCUUGCCUUUGAACCCGAAAACCCAUUUUUCCCAUUUGAACACACUCACGCAUUUAUUCUCCAAAUAAACCAUUGUAAUCAUGAUUGAAGUCGAGUGACGAAUUCCUAAGCAUUCUAGCAGUAGUUAUCAUCUAAAUAAAGCAAGUCAUAUUUAGAGAUAAACACAGGACAAUAAGGAAUGUUCGUAACAAUCAAGGGGUGGCUAUCCAACCAUGUCUUGCAAUAAAAUAAUAUGCAUUUUAUAAAAUAGGCCGAUAGGUUGUGUUUGAUGGUGGAUAAAUUUGGCCGAUGAGGUCUAUUCCCCACCCCCUGAACGGCCAUGGCUUGAUGAUGGGAUUCAUAGCCGACGCGAGUGCACGUUGGACAUCUCCAAACUUUUGACAUUCCUGACAACCCUUAUAAUAUUUGAAACAGUCUUCGAGGAUCGUAGGCCAAUAGUACCCGUUGUUCCUGAUCAUCCACUUCAUCUUAUGUGCCGAUUGGUGUGCUCCGCAUACCCCUUCAUGGAUCUCUCCCAUUAGAGUCUUGGCUUCUUCUGUCCCAAGGCAUUUAAGAAGGACCCCAUCGAUCGUUCGGUAGAACAGAUCAUCUUCGAGCAGCACGUACUUGGUGGCGUGAAAGCGUACUCGUCGCUCCACCUUUUUAGACGGAUCCUUCAGGUAAUCGGCAAUUUCUUUACGCCAAUCGUCGGCUGCAAGUUCUAAAGCCAUGGCGCCCAGAAUCGGCCGAUACCCAGAUGCGUGCUGGGCGAGUUUGUUUGCUUCCUCGUUGCGGUCUCUUGGAACAUGCUCGAUUACUGCCGAUUUGAAUUCUUUUAAAAGCUGUACGCAAUCUUCGUGAUAGAUUCUUAAUAUAUCAUCUUUGCACUCAGCCCUUCCGGUUAGUUGAUCCACAAUUAGCAUAGAAUCCCCGAAGAUCUCAACAGAAUCGGCCUUGACUUCUCUCAAUAAUUGUAAGCCUUUCAAUACAGCUCUGUACUCCGCUUGAUUGUUAGUGGCGGCGGUUUCUAUCGGCAGAGAAAAAUCAUAGCUUGCCCCCCGAGGCGAUAUGAGGACGAUGCCGAUUCCUGAUCCGACCCCGCAUGAUGACCCGUCAAAAAAUAAUUGCCAAGGCGCUAGUUCCACGAGGGCGAUCUCCGGUCCACAGUGCUGGGCGACGAAAUCGGCCAUGACUUGACCCUUGACGGCUUUUGCCGAUUCAUACCGUAGGUCAAAUUCUGAUAAAGCUAAGAUCCAUUUACCGAUUCGUCCUUUCAAUAUCGGCAGUGAUAGCAUGUAUUUCACUACAUCAUCUUUGCAUACGACUACGCAUUCUGCCGACAGUAGAUAGUGCCUGAGUUUGGUGCACGAGAAGUAAAGACACAAACACAAACGCUCUACCGGAGGAUAUCUUGUUUCGGCAUCCAGGAGUCUUCUACUGACGUAAUAAAUUACCCGUUCUUUGCCUUCAAACUCUUGGACUAGAGCCGACCCAAUAGCUUUUUCAUCGGCUGAUAAAUACAGUUUAAACGGCUUACCAGUUUGAGGGGGAACUAAGACUGGCGGCGAGACCAAGUACCGCUUAAUAUCCUCUAACGCCUGUUCUUCCCCCCAUACAAAUUCCUGGUCGGGCUUCAACUUCAGAAGUGGCGUGAACGCCUGGAGUCGUCCAGAUAGAUUAGAUAUAAACCUUCUGAUGAAGUUUACCUUGCCGAUUAGAGACUGUAGCUCAGUUUUGUUCUGUGGAGCAACGACUUUGUUGAUGGCCGCUAUGGUCUUCCGAUUGACUUCUAUACCUCGUUCGUGCACCAUGAAUCCUAAGAAUUGUCCGGCGGAGACGCCGAAAGCGCAUUUGUUGGGAUUCAUCUUAAGACCAUGCUGUUUGGUACACUCUAGCACCCUUCGCAAAUCGGCCAGGUGUUCCUCGUGGCUUUUGGACUUGACCACAACAUCAUCGAUGUAGAUCUCCACCAGGAGGCCAAUGAGUUUGUGAAAAAUGUAGUUCAUGGCCCUUUGAUAUGUAGCGCCAGCAUUCUUCAAGCCGAAAGUCAUCACCACCCACUCGAAUAAACCAAGAUGUCCCGGACACCUGAAAGCCGUUUUGGGUAUGUCUUCUUCGGCCAUAAGUAUUUGAUUGUAUCCGGCGUUUCCAUCCAUGAAGCUAAUAAUUUUGUGUCCCGCGGCGGCGUCGAUCAGUACAUCGGCCGUAGGCAUGGGGUAACCAUCCAUCGGUGUGGCCUGAUUAAGAUUCCUGAAAUCAACGCAAACGCGCAGCUUCCGUUUUUCUUGUACACUGGCACGAUAUUAGAAAUCCACUCGGCAUAACGACAUUACCGAAUAAAUUUUGCUUCAAUUAGCCGAGUUAUUUCAGCUUUUAUGUCUGGUAAAAUUUUAGGAUUGCAUCGCCGUGCGGGUUGUUGGUACGGCCGAUACCCUGGCUUUAUGGGUAGCCGAUGUUCAACAAUAGAUCGAUCUAAACCGGGCAUCUCGUGAUACUCCCAAGCAAAACAAUCCUUGAAUUCUCUUAAUAAAUUCGUCAAUUUACACUUAUACUCUGGGUCUAAAUUUGCACUAAUAAAAGUCGGCCUUGGUUUGGUCCCGUCACCUAAGUCUAUCAUCUCCAAUGAAUCGACCGACGUGAAUCCGUGCCCCAGCUUCCCGUCUUCUCGGGCGAACUGAUCCAUCUAUUCCAUCUCUUCGGAGCCGACUGCUCGGAUCGGCUGUAGGCCAAAAUCGGUGACCUUCAGGAAAUCGGUUUCCCACACCCUACCUGAUAUGCACCUGACGGUUUCGCAGCUCCAUUGCUAUGCGUCGGCUGUUGCGAUGCUGUACGCGGAGUCGGCUUUGACCACCUCGAUGUUAUCGCCGACCCAUUGUACGAGGCACUGAUGCAUAGUUGACGGGAUGCAGCAGUUUGCGUGUAUCCAGUCUCGGCCAAGAAGCAUAUUAUAGGACCCUUUGCCAUUAAUGACGAAAAACGUGGUAGGAAGGGUCUUACUGCCGAUGGUGAGGUCGACGCAGAGAGCACCGCGAGCGUUUGACACCUUGCCUUCGAAGUCUUUGAGCAUCAUGUCUGUCCUGGUUAGGUCGUCGUCGCUUUUCCCCAGCUUUCGGAGUACGGUAUACGGCAUGAUAUUGACGGCAGCUCCUCCGUCGACCAUCAAUCUAGUGAGGGGACGACCGUCAACAUGCCCUUUAAGGAACAAUGCCUUCAUGUGUUGUCGUUCGUCAUCUUCGGGUCUUUCGAACGUGGCCAUCAUUGGUUCUAAAGCCAACCGUGCUGUUUGUUCCUCUAUCGCCGAUACGUCCUGUUGAUCGGCAGGGGUCAUGAACUCCAUCGGCAAUAUGAAAACCAUACCGAUCUCGGCUGCCGAUUCAUCACCCGCCGACUCAUUGUUUCCCUUGUCGUUUCUUUUGGGGCGCCACACCCGAGGCCUCCCUUCCUUCCUGUCCAUCGCGCUUUCUUCUUCUUGCUGUUCCCAUUGGCGGAGGCGUUGGAUUCUUUGUUUUUGUGAUUUGGUUAAACCAUCGGGGCACCACCUGGGGUUUAUUGGCCUCCCUUCUUUCCCGGCGCGUUCCCAUUCCGGCUCGCGUCCUAACGGGUUCUCGUCCGUUACCCGAGCAUCGGCCAUGUCUUCGAGCCGGCUGUGAACGCUGGCUUUGCUAUUUGAUUGAUCAUGUCGAUCGGCCCUGCCCCCCUGCCUAUUAUGGCUUCUAUCUUCUGACCGAUCAUAUCGGUCGCUUCUGCCCCCCAGCCGAUUACGCAUGGGAGGGCGCUGAUCAUCUGGGUUGCGCCAAUUCCUGCUGAUCGGUUCUGGCCUUCCGUCUCUGGAGCGAGACCUGGUGAACGGUCGAUUGCCUCGAUAGGGACCGUUGCACUCCGGGCAAGUAUCGGCCGACGGUAGCCUGAGGUUAUUUUCCCAACAAUGAAUGAAGAAUGGGCAUCUCCAGUGCUCCUCGUGCCGACGCGUCGCUUCCUCUCGAGACCUCGAACGUUCAUAUUGGCGUUGGUACUUUUGGAGCAGGAACUGGGAAGUAAUACGUGGCCCUUCUGACUCACCAUCAUCGUCCUCCAUUCGUCGCUUUCCUUUGACGUCUUCAGACGUAACUUGAUUUCUGGGAUCGACAGCGCCACUCUUUCUGGCCGACUCGGACGUCAACACUUUUGUUUGGAGGGAAUUCUUUCCCGUAUCAACCAUAUUGGUAGAAAAGGGGUGUUGGUCGAUCUUCAUUGGUUUGGCCGAUUUUGCCGGCACUUCAAAUUUGAGUCUGCCUUGCUCAAUGGCCGACUGUAUUUGUUGCCUGAAGAUUUUGCACUCGUUGGUAUCAUGUGAUGUGGCAUUGUGCCACUUGCAAUACUUCAUUUUCUUCAAUUGUUCGGCAGAGGGUAUUGUAUGGUAAGGCGAGAGUUUAAUCUGCCCUUCCUGGAGUAGAAGAUCGAAGAUUUUAUCCGCUUUAGUUGUAUCGAAACCGAAUGCUUCCGGCUCCUUCUUGCCGAACGGGCAUGAUAUCGGCUUCUUUCCCUUAAUCCACUCUGCAAGUCCGAUUUCGGCAUCUUCCUCGUCCUCUACUUCCUCCAAGAAUGCUACUUUCUUCUGGAAAUUCCUUCUCGGAUCGAACGGACGCACUUCUUGUCCGGACAAUCGGUGAACAAUCUGGCUCAGGCUCUCGAAUUCUUGCAAGGCAUAUUUCUCUUUAAUGUGUGGCAAAAGGCCUUGGAAAGCUAUAUCGGCCAAUUGCGCAUCGGUCAGAGCCAGGGAGUAGCAUUUGUUUCUGAUUUCCCGAAACCUCUGUAUAUACGAGGGUAUCGGCUUAUCACUUCUUUGCCGAAGGCUAGUCAAAUCGGACAGCUUCAUUUCAUGGACCCCAGCAUAGAAGUAUUUGUGGAAUUGUCUUUCUAGAUCGGCCCAUGUAAUAAUUGAGUUUGGUGGUAGAGUCGUGAACCAUUGAAAGGCCGAUCCAGACAAGGAUGACGAGAAUAACCGUACCCGCAGGGCAUCUUGCGUAGCUGCCUCCCCGCAUUGGAUGAUGAAUCUAUUCACAUGCUCUACGGUAGAAGUGUCAUCCAUCCCCGAAAACUUGGUAAAAUCAGGGACCUUGUACCGAUGGGGAAACGGCAACAAGUCAUAUGUAGAUGGGUAGGGUGUUCUAUAGGUAUAAGUUUGCACUUUCGGCUUCAAGCCGAAUUGUUCUUGCAUUACCUCUGCAAUUUGCGCCGACCAAUCUGGUUGUGGCUGGCGAACAAUUGGCGGCGGUAUCGGCACGUGCUGAUAAAUCGGAGGCUGAAUAAAAGGAGGUUGAUGAAAAGGUGGUAUCUGAGUAUAAGCCGGUGGUGUAGUAAAGGACGGCUGCUUGUAUGAACCACUUGUUUCAUCAUAUAGCAUGAGUUCUGACGUCUUGUUGACCUCCGGAGCGAUAGGCUGGUAUGGUGGUAUGAUCGGCCGAGUGGCCGUUUGGGAGGGUGUCUGGAACGGAGGAUUUCCUUGACUGACCGAUUGAUUCAAACCGGUCGUAUUUAAGGGUGUCCCCCAGGGUAAAGGGAUGACUGGAGGGAGCGGUGCAGAGGACAGUUGGAUAGAACCAUAUCCCAAAGGAGUUGAUGACGCAGAAGCACCGGAUCCUCCGACAGAAGAUUGGAUCGGCUGUGAAGCCUGAUAAGCCUGAUUUGGUGGAAUCGGCUGAAAAUACGUUGGUCCCUUGUACCCUUGAGGUAUACCUCCGGCGAAGGAGUUGACAACAGCAUUGUGCACCAUGUUUGAAAGUACCGGGGAUUGAUUGAUGAAGGCGUGAUGAAGAGAUUGUUGAAUCAUAUCGGACAUUUUAUCCGAAUCUUCAGAAAUUGUGAUCUGACGGGGGGUAGGGAAAGGAGUUUUUUUAACCGUCUCCCCGCUCCUGGAACGACUGAAGGAUUUCAAGCAAGUUUUCCGGACUUGCUCCAAAUAAUUAUUCAGAUCUUCCUUUUGGUCGUCCUUUAGAUCUGCUUCCGUCACUUCGAUGACGUUUUCUUCGGAGACUUCAGCAGCUUUCGACAUGAUAGCGGUUGUAUUGGUCCCACCAGGCGUGCCAAAAGUGUGUUGGCGCUAGAAAUCGGUUAACCGAAUCCCGGCGACCGACACACGACCCGGGAGAAUCUGCUUAGCUCCUGUUCGGGUGAAUGCCCUAGUGCGGUUCACGCGGCGUGCCAGCCAAUCUGACCUGUUGAUUGGCAAGGAAAAACACGUGUCAGGUUCAGAAACUACGAUCGGCUGAGUUUCCGAUCGAGAGAGCUUAUCGGCGAAUCGGCCGAUUUACUGUGAUAAUGAAAUCGGCUAUAAGACAGCACGAUCCCUGUAGCCUUGUAGACAGAAAAAUACUAAAGUAAUCGGUACAAAGCUUGUGAUAACAACACUAGGAAAAGAUCUAAUCGGCAACGAAUGGAUCUAACAACGGAAAGUAAUGAAAGCCGAUACUACCGAUUCCUAGCGGGAUAACUGGUGAUAAAAACUAGGAAAACAGGUAAAAACCUAUGAAUCUAGUUGAUAUCGAUAACUGAUGAAUAAAUCUAAACGAAACAACAGCGAUGCGCCGGAAGUUAAAGCUUAGAUAUUACUCGAUAAACGGAACUUACAGAAUCGGCCGGAGAUCAAGAUGAUGCAGCCCUGCCAACCCGCACGAACUCGUGAGAAGAAAAAGUAAUGGCGAAGUCGCCUGCUCGAAAGUAAGUACGAAGAAGAAAGUAACUUGUUGUAUUGAUUGAUUGUCGUGUUUACAGAUUUACAAAGGUAGCUAUUUAUAGCCCCGUACAGAUAACUUCUUAACCGACUAGAAUUCUAUCUCUAAUUCAAACAGAAAACAAAUAUCUACAAGCACAAUUCGUACUAGGUUAGCUACCCCACGAUUCGUGGGCUGAUCUCCACCUUAUCCUUCCACCCCUUUCCAAGCCCAUACAGGCCCAAUUAGUCCAUCCUCCUAAUCGGCCGAUUUCUCAUCGGCAAAGGAUUGCCGAUUGGGAGUCUGGCGCAUUCUCCCUGAAGCGAAGCAAAAGCUGCCAGCCGAUUCCUCAUUAUAACACCAUUUGACCGAUUCCCAACUGUACUUCUUCGAUUUCUUUUCUUCUUGACGCCGAUUCUAUUGGUGACGAAAUCCGGCGUCAACAGGGCGUUACACCCACCAACCAAUGUACUACCUCAGGAUACCCUCGGUAGGUUGCUGGGUAUAAAACACCGACACCAUGGCAACAGAGGGGUCAUUGCCUUGGCUGCUACCAAAGUAGCCUCCCAGAGGCUCCUCCUCAACACAUCAUUGACCAAAAACACCCAACAAAUAAGUGAAUAGGUCCAACAGGUAUCACUGCCUUGGCUACUACCAAAGUAGCCCCCCAGAGGCUCCUCCUAAACACAUCAUCCCCCAAAACCAGCCAGCAUACAAGGAAACAAGUCCAAUAUGUAUCAUUGCCCCGGCAGCUACGAAAAGUAACCUCCCAGAGGCUCCUCAUCAACGUCAUCGAACAAAGAAAAUCCCACAACAACAUCAUUGCCACGGUUGCUACCCAAGGUAGCCUCCCAGAGGCUCAUUAUUUCAUAGAACAACCAUAUUAGCCUCGAGCAGGCUCCUUGUCAGCAACACAAACCGACAUUAGAGACAGGUUCAUGGCAACAAGUCCACAUCCAUGCGGUAACUACACAUGAAUUGUAAAUAACCUCAUGAAUCGACUGUAGACAACAAGCCAAGGCAUAGAAGCCAGAACAUUGCAGCAAAUAGACAUGCAGAUUUGGCGAGGAUACCCCACUAAUCACACAAAGAAACCGUAAUAUCAGAUCCACUCCAUGGGAACCCUAACCCGAGGGAUUCCACCCAACAAAUCGUAAAAGAUCGAACAACAAUAUGAAAACUCCACCGUAGGAGACCCUACCCCAUCGCAAACAAGACGAACCUCCACCCUAACUGUAAGAGGAUAGUGGAUUCGGGCAAUACCUACACGAAGAUGAAGACAACUAUCGUGGGGAAGAUGAGGAAGUAGCGUGUGCUAGUGGACAAGCCGAGGGACGCCUAGAACAGCAAGUAGAUGAGGCAUAUCUGCUUGGUGGAGAGGAAGAAGCAGGUCACACCGGGGAUAAAGAUGUUGCUCAAGUUGCCGGGGAUGAAAAGAUAGCAGAUCUGCUCGGUGACAAAGACGAAGCACAGAUCCAAUGUUCGUUGCUGACGGAGACCCAGCGCUUGCCGGUGAAGAAGUACGCGCGGCCGCCGUUGCAGGCGACCAUGGACACCUCCGGAUCAGGCGUCCCGCAACCAGCCGUGCCGUCGCCUCCGCCCUAAAGUCGCCGGGAUGAGAUGAGAGGAGUGGAGGAGUUGAGUGCAAAAGGGAGACAGGAGAGAGGAGUGGAGGAGUUGGUGGAGGCGGCGCGUCUGCGAGGGAAGAGGGCGACACGCCCGGGAGGCCACCACUAUAUACCGGCGGUGGUAACCCUAGUUGGCCCAAAUUAUGGUGCCAGGCCACGUCUAUCUCCCGACUUCCCUCCGCAUGCGUGAAAACACGCUCGCACGGGCUUGCACCGCAUAAAACGAUCGAUUUUUGCGUUCCACAUGAUGCAGGCUGGCAGGUCAUUUUUGCACCGCAUGAGUCUAGUCCGGAAGACCGACCAAGCUAGUAAACACAGCUGGUUACACCAGCUGGAUCUGGCCCAAUCUCAGCCGCGGCGUCCCAGCUCACACAGCUGCGUGGUGAGCACAAAGCCAACUAUUCUUUCAAAAGAGUACCGUGCGCUCGCCACACAAAGCAGCAUACGCUUGUUUUUGGAGGGUACCCUCUCUCGCGAGUGGGUGCACAACAAUUCAAACUUAAAUUUUCUUCCGCGUUUAAAAUUCGGACUCUUUUUUAGUCAUAGCUCGUGAAGUUCUACACUGCUCUGUUUUUGGCUUCUUGCAGCAGCAGCAUCUUUGAUGUUUUUGUCACUCACGGGACGUCUGUUAUUUGUCUUCUCAUCACAAUAGUUUUUCUUGCUGUUCAGUUUUGGCAUCUGCGCUGCGAUGUUUUCGUUGUCGCUUUUGCGGAUGGGCGUGAUGACUCAGCUUACGUGCACGAAGAGUGCGUCUGGGUUUAGCAGAGGACGAGACGCUGAAGCCUCUGGUUGAGCAGAGACGGUCAAACAGGGAACUGGGCAGCACAGCAUGGGCACAGGUCGGAUGCAUAUCCUCACGGGUCUGGAUCUCGGGACCAUCUGUCGCGUCACUUAUCCAAAUCAAGCGACGCAAACGUUUCGGUACCUUCGUUCAGUAGCAUGAUGCAGCCAUUUAGGCAUGUUUUAUGUUUGGUUACCCAAAGUACGUGACAUUUAUUGUGUUGUUUGGUGGAGAAGGGACUGCACGCAGCAUGUGGCACAAUUUGAACUACAUUUUUAGUCUACGCGAGAAAAUAUUGAUCUACAGGUCACAUGCAUGAGCACAAGGUUAACUCAUCAGUGUCCCUGCUUGAGGAUUUGUAAGGUAUACUACUGUUUAAAAUAUAAGAGAUUUAGUUUGUGUAAGUGAAACUCGUCUAAUUUUAUCUAAGCAAAGUUAAAAAAAAUUGACUGCGGAUAAAACUAUAAUCCCAUUGGAACGGAGGGAGUAGCAAUGUAACAAACUAAAAUCAGUAUCUCAUUUCUGCCAUAAGCCCUAGCUCAAACUUGGCAUGUCACGACUAUAGUUUCAUCACUUGCAAGACAUUUGCUUGAGCAUUGUAAGAGGAUCUGGCCUCUGAGGUGUCUAAAAUAGUAAAAUCUAAAACUAAUUAUAGGUAUGAAAAUAUCACCCGUAAGAAACAUCAUUAUUAGAUUCAUUUCUAGUCGUGGUAGGUGGAUGAAAGCCCCCAACAACAACAAGGCGUCAUUACUUAUUGGAACCAUAAUACCAUAUCCAUUGUAAACUAGCUAAGUAUUGGAAACUUGAAAACUCUAUCAAAAGUCGUAAUUAAGAUAUUUCAAAAAAUUUGAAAAACUAACUCACCGUUCCCGCGCAAAUUUUUACGGCCAAACUCCAUCCCAUCCAUGAGAUGCAAAAACACACAAAUGUCAAACAUAUAUGCACAAAGGACAAAAAUAACAUACUUUAUUAUUUUUCUUUUAAACCCAAAUUUACCCUUUUCAUCUUCCAAAUCAUGUUGAGUUUGAAUUUGAAAGUUUAUAUGGCUCAUCUUUGAGAUGGUGAGUUCUUCAAGAUUUUAUAGAACUUCCUUAUAUGGGUUUUAACGAGGGUUUUAACACACAUGACAAGUAUGUACAUCUUCAGCCACUUCGUGUGAAUUGAUUGUACUUACCUUAUGCACUCAUUUAUUACACAAAACCUACCUAUUGCGCAUUAUCGAAUCUACUCCAUUCGUCCCAUGAAACAAGUCACC
This 26415-nucleotide long non-coding RNA is filed under the name Setaria viridis. RNAcentral's name for it is "long non-coding RNA (SVIR_LNC000128)". The stretch from base 24753 to 24862 matches the Rfam family "U5 spliceosomal RNA". The record is from RNAcentral. Lineage: Eukaryota; Viridiplantae; Streptophyta; Magnoliopsida; Poales; Poaceae.